GAUAACUAAAAUAACAAACCCACAACAAGGAUAGUUUUGUUAGGAGAGUAAAGCGAAUUGACGACAGGCUGGUUGGAGCGAGCUUGUUGGUUCAGCAACAGAAGCGAACACUCUGCCUCUGAAGAAAUUAGCAUGACAUGAAUGAAAAAUUGAGGAAGAAGAAAGAAUCUUUUGUAUCAUUUUGCAAAAACUGAUCCAACAUUUAUAGCCAAUAUUCUUGGGUUGGCCAAGUCAACCAAUCACAACUGCACUAACCACCUAUAUAUGGGGUGGAGUGGGCUAUUUUUUCACGCGCCUGAGCCGUGAGGAAAUAGGGCCCAAAUCAUGGCGAACAUGAUAGGCUAUAAUCUACUUAGAACCCUAAACUCAAAAGUCCAUUCCCAAAUUGAAGUUGCAACCAUGUCUGCUUUACUAAAAGCUGAGAAGGAACGGAGAAUUGGAAAAAGUGAAUACUACUCCAACAACCGACGGUUAGGUAGAAGUUAGAUUUGUUUGACAUCGAGGUCACAUUUGAAGACACCCAUAUUUGAAGGUCACAUUUGAGUUUGAGUAACAUAGCAAUCGACUAUGUAUGCCAUUAUUGAAAGAUUUCUAGAUGAAGAUUAAGAAGCAUGAAGUAAUUGUGUUUUCAACAUAGCUGCUUAUACCGAGAACUGUUUGAAGAAGAACAGCUUAUUUCCUUGUUGAGAGGUGCAUGAAAACUAAGUUACUCCGACUUAGGUGAGAGUAUCGAAUAUAGGUAUGUGUCUAACAUGUGUGUUCAAAUUAUUUUCUAAAAUUGUCAUGUAAUGAAGGGCCCUUAGAAGAUCCUUUGCCUAUACUUAUAUCCUGAUAUGUGUCAGACAGAAGUACCAAAUACAAGUUACUUUAAAAAACAAUGAAACGUUGGAGGAACACGGCCUUACUAGAAAGUGUCAAAUAUCCAGAAGACCUAGAUCUUUUGUGAGAGCCUAAAUUCACUGUUGACUAAUUGACAUGUCUAGCGAGUUGACUUCAGCUAGAGGCAACACUCUAAGCCGGUGCCUGAGCAAGAGAAAAGCUGUGUAUGUAAGUAGUUUUGUUAAAAUGUGAGCGACCUGCUCUGUUGAUCUCCAGGCGCAGCUAGCAUUCUAAGACCCAUUGGUACGGCAUGUUUGAGGGUAAGAGGGAAAGGUUAGGCCAAAGUAGAUUUUGUAUCGUUGGAACCUUGGGAGUACUUAUGCAAUUGAAUAGGACGUGUGCUUGUUUUGAGUCGGCAUCCUUGCUUGAGACUUGAGAGGUGGAUUGAGUGAGUUGCUAGAUAUGCAGAAGUUGUUGUGUAAAUGAUCAUUCAUGCACAAUCAUCUUUGGAUUUUAUUCAGCUCAUUUCUGUAAGUGUUGAGACUGAAGCAAUGGCCAUUUCCUUGUCAAAACAAAGCUUUUGAUCUCGGCCAACAAAUCGCUUAGUUGCAUGGGUUGAAAACUUUAUUUUUUAUUUUUUUAAUAUAGUAAAUCCCCAAAUGGACAUUAUAUAAUUAAA
Molecule: long non-coding RNA, 1498 nt
Organism: Gossypium arboreum
Lineage: Eukaryota; Viridiplantae; Streptophyta; Magnoliopsida; Malvales; Malvaceae
Exons: 2
Source: RefSeq, a predicted model, not a curated record